CUUUUCAUUCCCGUUGUUAUGGAGGGCCACAUCUGCCAGAGCCUGGAGUCUGCGAAGGCCGGGACCCGGUUCCCCGGCCCACAGUGGGGGUGUGCAAACCCGAGAGAACUGGUCGCUGAAACCUCUACAACUUAGUUGACCGUAACUGCCAGAGCCCUGCCCUGAAUUCCUGUCCUUACUCCCUCUUUAAGAUUGCGUACCCACUGCAGAGUGCUGAAGACGGGGUUGCAAAUUCGUGAAGAAUCAGCAUCAUGUUUGGCAGCUGAGUAUUGGAGCCAGGAGCCUGCCAUGAGGUUUUGAGAACAGAGUGCUGUUUUAGAGCUGGCAGCAGCAUCUCAGCCCAAGAGAAGGUUAUAUUCCCAGAGGAUGUCAGUCCCAAGGACCAGUAGCUGCCAUCAGUUUGGAUUCUGAAAACUAACUGGCAUCAACACUGGGUGUAGAAACAUGCUUGCCUUAUGUAUCAGAGGACAUGCUCAGCAGAUCCAAGAGAUAUAUUUGGCAACUUUUUCUAGAAAAGGCACAUUGGGUAUCAUUCAUUACAUUCUUGAGUUUUUUUGGGUUUUUUUUUUUUUUUUUGAGACAGUCUUGCUGUAUUGCCCAGGCUGGAGUGUGGUGGCACAAUCACAGCUCAUUGCAUCCUCAAUCACCCAGGCCUAAGCAAUCCUCCCACCUUGUAGCUGGGACUACAGCUCACAGCACACCUGGCUAAAAUUUUUUUUUUGUUGAGACGGAUUCUCUAUGUUGCCCAGGCUGGUCUCAGGCUCCUGGGCUCAGAUGGUCCUCCUGCCUCAGCUUCCAAAGGCACAGGCCAAGUUGUAGCUUUGUCCCUUGCCAUCAUGCCCAACAAGAGGUUCUAUACCUUUUAAUGAAUUGACUUUCAUAAAUUGGUUAUGUUGGUGGGCAAAGUUCUUUAAGCUGGAAAUUGUAAAUUCCUCCUGAAAUGUUUUUUCAUGCAGUUACCAUGAACUAAUACUACAAUAAAGGAUGGUCUUGGGUGUCAAUUCUUGAAAA
This is a long non-coding RNA of Homo sapiens (human), 1011 nucleotides long. Ensembl annotates it as small nucleolar RNA host gene 29. Its record names the gene SNHG29. Lineage: Eukaryota; Metazoa; Chordata; Mammalia; Primates; Hominidae. The record is from Ensembl.